Molecule: unclassified non-coding RNA, 337 nt
Filed under: soil metagenome
Description: partial contains 5.8S ribosomal RNA, internal transcribed spacer 2, and large subunit ribosomal RNA
Rfam family: 5.8S ribosomal RNA (bases 1-120)
Source: RNAcentral
GAUGAAGAACGCAGCGAAAUGCGAUAAGUAGUGUGAAUUGCAGAAUUCAGUGAAUCAUCGAAUCUUUGAACGCACAUUGCGCCCCUUGGUAUUCCAUGGGGCAUGCCUGUUCGAGCGUCAUUUGUACCUUCAAGCCUUGCUUGGUGUUGGGUGUUUGUCUCGCCUCUGCGCGCAGACUCGCCUUAAAACAAUUGGCAGCCGGCGUAUUGAUUUCGGAGCGCAGUACAUCUCGCGCUUUGCACUCAGAACGACGACGUCCAAAAGUACAUUUUUACACUCUUGACCUCGGAUCAGGUAGGGAUACCCGCUGAACUUAAGCAUAUCAAUAAGCGGAGGA